RNAcentral lists this ribosomal RNA (468 nucleotides) under uncultured bacterium. RNAcentral describes it as "partial 16S ribosomal RNA". It matches the Rfam family "Bacterial small subunit ribosomal RNA", at positions 28 to 507 of the family's 1533-position model. The record is from RNAcentral.
GACGAACGCUGGCGGCGUGCUUAACACAUGCAAGUCGAACGGAAAGGCCCUGCUUUUGUGGGAUGCUCGAGUGGCGAACGGGUGAGUAACACGUGAGUAACCUGCCCUUGACUUUGGGAUAACUUCAGGAAACUGGGGCUAAUACCGGAUAGGAGCUCCUGCUGCAUGGGGGGGGUUGGAAAGUUUCGGCGGGUGGGGAUGGACUCGCGGCUUAUCAGCUUGUUGGUGGGGUAGUGGCUUACCAAGGCUUUGACGGGUAGCCGGCCUGAGAGGGUGACCGGCCACAUUGGGACUGAGAUACGGCCCAGACUCCUACGGGAGGCAGCAGUGGGGAAUAUUGCACAAUGAGCGGAAGCCUGAUGCAGCAACGCCGCGUGCGGGAUGACGGCCUUCGGGUUGUAAACCGCUUUCGCCUGUGACGAAGCGUGAGUGACGGUAAUGGGUAAAGAAGCACCGGCUAACUACGUG